CAUCUGACCGGCCUUCGAAGAGGCACUCCCUUCGGGCAGAUGUGUAGGUGCUGCAUGGUUGUCGUCAGCUCGUGCCGUGAGGUGUCGGCUUAAGUGCCAUAACGAGCGCAACCCUCAUCAUUAGUUACCAUCAGGUAAGGCUGGGGACUCUAAUGAGACUGCCAUCGUAAGAUGUGAGGAAGGUGGGGAUGACGUCAAAUCAGCACGGCCCUUACGUCCGGGGCGACACACGUGUUACAAUGGGUGGUACAAAGGGCAGCUACCUGGCGACAGGACGCUAAUCUCGAAAACCGCUCUCAGUUCGGAUCGGAGUCUGCAACUCGACUCCGUGAAGCUGGAUUCGCUAGUAAUCGCGCAUCAGCCACGGCGCGGUGAAUACGUUCCCGGGCCUU
RNAcentral lists this ribosomal RNA (392 nucleotides) under uncultured Proteiniphilum sp. Its description in RNAcentral is "bacterial SSU rRNA". It matches the Rfam family "Bacterial small subunit ribosomal RNA", at positions 989 to 1382 of the family's 1533-position model. Lineage: Bacteria; Pseudomonadati; Bacteroidota; Bacteroidia; Bacteroidales; Dysgonomonadaceae. The record is from RNAcentral.